UACGGGGGGAGCAAGCGUUGUUCGGAUUUACUGGGCGUAAAGGGUGCGUAGGCGGCGCGGUAAGUCGGGUGUGAAAUCUCGGGGCUUAACUCCGAAACUGCAUUCGAUACUGCCGUGCUUGAGGACUGGAGAGGAGACUGGAAUUUACGGUGUAGCGGUGAAAUGCGUAGAUAUGUGGCGGAACACCGAUGGCGAAGGCAGCCCCCUGGGCUGAGAUUGACGCUCAGGCACGAAAGCGUGGGGAGCAAACAGG
This 253-nucleotide ribosomal RNA is filed under the name uncultured bacterium. RNAcentral's name for it is "partial 16S ribosomal RNA". It matches the Rfam family "Bacterial small subunit ribosomal RNA", at positions 524 to 776 of the family's 1533-position model. The record is from RNAcentral.